RNAcentral lists this ribosomal RNA (432 nucleotides) under uncultured bacterium. RNAcentral describes it as "partial 16S ribosomal RNA". It matches the Rfam family "Bacterial small subunit ribosomal RNA", at positions 29 to 506 of the family's 1533-position model. The record is from RNAcentral.
AACGAACGCUGGCGGCAUGCCUAACACAUGCGAGUCGAACGAGACCUUCGGGUCUAGUGGCGCACGGGUGCGUAACGCGUGGGAACCUGCCCUUAGGUUCGGAGUAACUCCCCGAAAGGGGUGCUGAUACCGGAUAAUGUCUUCGGACCAAAGAUUUAUCGCCUUUGGAUGGGCCCGCGUUGGAUUAGCUAGUUGGUAGGGUAAAAGCCUACCAAGGCGACGAUCCAUAGCUGGUCUGAGAGGAUGAUCAGCCACACUGGGACUGAGACACGGCCCAGACUCCUACGGGAGGCAGCAGUGGGGAAUAUUGGACAAUGGGCGAAAGCCUGAUCCAGCAAUGCCGCGUGAGUGAUGAAGGCCUUAGGGUUGUAAAGCUCUUUUACCCGGGAUGAUAAUGACAGUACCGGGAGAAUAAGCUCCGGCUAACUCCGU